This is a small nucleolar RNA of Dioscorea cayenensis subsp. rotundata (Guinea yam), 158 nucleotides long. RefSeq annotates it as small nucleolar RNA snoR134. The transcript has a single exon. The record is from RefSeq and is a predicted model, not a curated record. NCBI's taxonomy places the organism in Eukaryota, Viridiplantae, Streptophyta, Magnoliopsida, Dioscoreales, Dioscoreaceae.
AAGCACGGUGCAACCCCGGGCUGCUCUGAUUUGCUGGUAUGAAGACGGUAGCCCCAAUGCCUGUGCAACAUGUGAAUCGCCACACAGUGUUGCAGGUCCGAUCUGCGUGUCUUUACUGAUGCCAGUGAUCGAUCUGUGUCAAAUUUGUGGCUAAAUUU